UACGUAGGGGGCAAGCGUUAUCCGGAUUUACUGGGUGUAAAGGGGGCGCAGACGGCGAUGCAAGCCAGGAGUGAAAGCCCGGGGCCCAACCCCGGGACUGCUCUUGGAACUGCGUGGCUGGAGUGCAGGAGGGGCAGGCGGAAUUCCUGGUGUAGCGGUGAAAUGCGUAGAUAUUAGGAGGAACACCGGUGGCGAAGGCGGCCUGCUGGACUGCAACUGACGUUGAGGCCCGAAAGCGUGGGGAGCAAACAGG
RNAcentral lists this ribosomal RNA (253 nucleotides) under uncultured bacterium. RNAcentral describes it as "partial 16S ribosomal RNA". It matches the Rfam family "Bacterial small subunit ribosomal RNA", at positions 524 to 776 of the family's 1533-position model. The record is from RNAcentral.